This is a long non-coding RNA of Topomyia yanbarensis, 443 nucleotides long. RefSeq lists it as uncharacterized. The transcript has 2 exons. The record is from RefSeq and is a predicted model, not a curated record. Lineage: Eukaryota; Metazoa; Arthropoda; Insecta; Diptera; Culicidae.
UAUGUGUCGGUUGUUUUUGUCAGACAGCGAUUAGUUUGUCAGCAUUAGCAAGUUUUCUUUCAUUUCAUUUCCGGUUGUGACUUUAGGCCGAGUGGUUGUUUUAUGUUUCUCUUGUCAUUCCUGUCUGUGUGAUACGGUGGAUACCUAUACCGCAGCGAACGCGUAAGAAACAUGCACCGGCGACGAAAGAAGAGACUUUUGGCAAGACACUUUCCUUGAGAAAGUUGAGCCAAAACGUCCCAGCUUUGAAGAGAAUCGCAAACUCAUUUUAUACCCACAACCUACAAUUGGAAAUGAGUUCUGAUGCAGCGUUGAAAAUGGCGUUUUCAUGACAAACCCGGUCGGAAUAUUAGCUUUAGUUUAAAUCGUAAUUUUUUUUUUGAAAAUGUAUUGUGUCUCGAACGGUGCGAUAGUAGCUAGCUAAAAUAAAAAAAAAGAUCAUA